This 994-nucleotide long non-coding RNA is filed under the name Trifolium pratense (red clover). RNAcentral's name for it is "long non-coding RNA (TPRA_LNC013150)". The record is from RNAcentral. Lineage: Eukaryota; Viridiplantae; Streptophyta; Magnoliopsida; Fabales; Fabaceae.
UUCCCUAAUCAUUUCAUUUUUUGGUUUUAAAUCUAACAAUUCAUGUGUCCAUAAUAAGUACCUUGAUAGUAAUCAUAUGAUGCAUUUUACAAAGGUAAACUCUAAUUUGGAUUUGUUAAUAAUGCUAAGUUGUAUCACUAUAUCUAAAUCAUCAUGAUUAUCCAUUUUCUUUGUUAUAAAGGUUAUUAAAGAUUAUAUGCUAAGGAUUUCGAACAACUUCAAUUGUACCAUGGUCUUUUGGAUCAUCACAAUUUGAUUGAAUUGUAAGUAGAAAUUAUCUCAUAGUCUUUUGUGAUGAAGCAUUGUGAAUGAUGUCUUAUUUAGAAAUGUCACAAAGAAAGAAUGGCUAUUAGAAAUUACAUUUAUUGAUUUGGUUAUUUCAGGGCCAUUUAAAGGAGAAAAAUGGAGCAUGCUUGGUGUGAAUAUAAUUGGGUGGUGGUGCAUAUCAAUCCAAUACAACAUGUCAUAUUAGUUUUUUCAGCUUUGUAUAAUACAUAAUGAUAACACCCAACACUUGAAAUAAUGAGCAAAAUUAUAAAUCUUAAUAUAAGGUUUAUAAUGUUGGAAAAAUUGUCAACUACAUUGAUAUUUGUCCAUUAUAUGGUGGUUCACUUUUAUAUUUACUAUGAUUUGGUUUUUAAGUUUGUUUCCCAUGAGAAAAUUAAAUUGAGUGUGCUCUUAUACAAAAAUUAAAUUUUAUACAUGUCACGGGUUUUGAAGACUCCACUAUAAAAUUGAGUGUGAUGCUUCACUUGAUUAGGUUUAUUAUGGUGGUUAUUUUAUGUUGUGGGCUAUUCUCUGUUUCGAGUUCAAACUAUUCUUUUUACGAUGAAAUGUGUUUGUUUUUAGUUCUAUGUUGUUUAUGUUUGUAUCCAACUUGAUUUCUAUUGUCUUUUGAAUACUUUAUCCUAAUUUCGUUGUGCUUAUGCUUAACCCGCUUGAUUAACAACAUCCAUGAUUGACAUAUAUAUGGCGAUGCUUAACCCAUUUGAUU